Molecule: long non-coding RNA, 1699 nt
Filed under: Mytilus galloprovincialis (Mediterranean mussel)
Lineage: Eukaryota; Metazoa; Mollusca; Bivalvia; Mytilida; Mytilidae
Source: RNAcentral
UGUUUGUCUAUUUACUCUGAGUAGUCAGGUCCAGACCAUGUGUUGUGUGUUGUUAUAUUUGUUUGUCUAUUUACUCUGAGUAGUCAGGUCCAGACCAUGUGUUGUGUGUUGUUGUAUUUGUUUGUCUAUUUACUCUGAGUAGUCAGGUCCAGACCAUGUGUUGUGUGUUGUUAUAUUUGUUUGUAGUCAGGUCCAGACCAUGUGUUGUGUGUUGUUAUAUUUGUUUGUCUAUUUACUCUGAGUAGUCAGGUCAGGUCCAGAUCAUGUGUUGUGUGUUGUUAUAUUUGUUUGUCUAUUUACUCUGAGUAGUCAGGUCCAGACCAUGUGUUGUUAGUUGUUGUAUUUGUAUUGUCUAUUUACUCUGAGUAGUCAGGUCCAGACCAUGUGUUGUUUGUUGAUAUAUUUGUUUGUCUAUUUACUCUGAAUAGUCAGGUCAGGUCCAGACCAUGUGUUGUGUGUUGUUAUAUUUGUUUGUCUAUUUACUCUGAGUAGUCAGGUCAGGUCUAGACCAUGUGUUGUGUGUUGUCAUAUUUGUUUGUCUAUUUACUCUGAGUAGUCAGGUCCAGACCAUGUGUUGUGUGUUGUGAUAUUUGUUUGUCUAUUUACUCUGAGUAGUCAGGUCAGGUCCAGACCAUGUGUUGUUAUAUUUGUUUGUCUAUUUACUCUGAGUAGUCAGGUCCAGACCAUGUGUUGUUAGUUGUUGUAUUUGUUUGUCUAUUUACUCUGAGUAGUCAGGUCCAGACCAUGUGUUGUUAGUUGUUGUAUUUGUUUGUCUAUUUACUCUGAGUAGUCAGGUCCAGACCAUGUGUUGUUAGUUGUUGUAUUUGUUUGUCUAUUUACUCUGAGUAGUCAGGUCAGGUCCAGACCAUGUGUUGUUUGUUGUUGUAUUUGUUUGUCUAUUUACUCUGAGUAGUCAGGUCCAGACCGUGUGUUGUGUGUUGUUAUAUUUGUUUGUCUAUUUACUCUGAGUAGUCAUGUCAGGUCCAGACCAUGUGUUGUUAUAUUUGUUUGUCUAUUUACUCUGAGUAGUCAGGUCCAGACAAUGUGUUGUUAGUUGUUAUUUGUUUGUCUAUUUACUCUGAGUAGUCAGGUCCAGACCAUGUGUUGUUUGUUGUUAUAUUUGUUUGUCUAUUUACUCUGAGUAGUCAGGUCCAGACCAUGUGUUGUGUGUUGUUAUAUUUGUUUGUCUAUUUACUCUGAGUAGUCAGGUCCAGAUCAUGUGUUGUGUGUUGUUAUAUUUGUUUGUCUAUUUACUCUGAGUAGUCAGGUCCAGACCAUGUGUUGUCAUGUUUGUUUGUCUAUUUACUCUGAGUAGUCCGGUGAGGUCCAGACCAUGUGUUGUGUGUUGUUAUAUUUGUUUGUCUAUUUACUCUGAGUAGUCAGGUCCAGACCAUGUGUUGUAUGUUGUUAUAUUUGUUUGUCUAUUUACUCUGAGUAGUCAGGUCCAGACCAUGUGUUGUGUGUUGUUAUAUUUGUUUGUCUAUUUACUCUGAGUAGUCAGGUCCAGACCAUGUGUUGUUUGUUGUUAUAUUUGUUUGUCUAUUUACUCUGAGUAGUCAGGUCCAGACCAUGUGUUGUUAGUUAUUGUAUUUGUUGUCUAUUUACUAUGAGUAGUCAGGUCCAGACCAUGUGUUGUGUGUUGUUUUAUUUGUUUGUCUAUUUACUCUGAGUAGUCAGGUCAGGUUCAGACCAUGUGUUG